This 569-nucleotide ribosomal RNA is filed under the name uncultured Desulfobulbaceae bacterium. RNAcentral describes it as "bacterial SSU rRNA". It matches the Rfam family "Bacterial small subunit ribosomal RNA", at positions 28 to 585 of the family's 1533-position model. The record is from RNAcentral. Lineage: Bacteria; Pseudomonadati; Thermodesulfobacteriota; Desulfobulbia; Desulfobulbales; Desulfobulbaceae.
AACGAACGCUGGCGGCGUGCUUAACACAUGCAAGUCGAACGCGAACGUCUUUUUCGGAAGAUUAGUAGAGUGGCGCACGGGUGAGUAACGCGUAAGUAAUCUACCCUGGUAUCUGGGAUAACCCACCGAAAGGUGUGCUAAUACCGGAUACGCUGAUUUAUCAGGAAAGGUGGCCUCUUCAUGAAAGCUACUGUACCAGGAGGAGCUUGCGUACCAUUAGCUAGUUGGUAGGGUAAUGGCCUACCAAGGCGACGAUGGUUAGCGGGUCUGAGAGGAUGAUCCGCCACACUGGAACUGAAACACGGACCAGACUCCUACGGGAGGCAGCAGUGAGGAAUAUUGCGCAAUGGGGGAAACCCUGACGCAGCGACGCCGCGUGGAUGAUGAAGGCCUUCGGGUCGUAAAAUCCUGUCAGGUGGAAAGAAGUGUAUAUUGCCUAAUACGUGAUAUAUUUGACGGUACCAUCAAAGGAAGCACCGGCUAACUCCGUGCCAGCAGCCGCGGUAAUACGGAGGGUGCAAGCGUUGUUCGGAAUUACUGGGCGUAAAGCGCGCGUAGGCGGUUUGUUA